ACGACUCUCGGCAACGGAUAUCUCGGCUCUCGCAUCGAUGAAGAACGUAGCGAAAUGCGAUACCUGGUGUGAAUUGCAGAAUCCCGCGAACCAUCGAGUCUUUGAACGCAAGUUGCGCCCGAGGCCACUCGGCCGAUGGCACGCCUGCCUGGGCGUCACGC
Molecule: ribosomal RNA, 161 nt
Filed under: Hordeum patagonicum subsp. magellanicum
Lineage: Eukaryota; Viridiplantae; Streptophyta; Magnoliopsida; Poales; Poaceae
Description: 5.8S ribosomal RNA
Rfam family: 5.8S ribosomal RNA
About the family: 5.8S ribosomal RNA (5.8S rRNA) is a component of the large subunit of the eukaryotic ribosome.
Source: RNAcentral